AAGCUCGUCGAGACCUCGACCUGAAUACCUGAACCCCCAAAGGUCCAGCACAUAACAAAUAGGUAGAGAGUUAGUAAACAUAAUCACAUACAUACGAAUAUAGAAACGCACCUAUAUUCAACCUAUCACGUAUUACUAACUCACACACAUGCCUUAAUAAGUAAUACACCAGAUAACACAUACUCACAAUUACACAACCAGAUAGUUUCACGUCGUUUCGGACAACACAAAGAACUCACAUAACACAUAACACCUAAUUGCACAUUUACU
This 270-nucleotide long non-coding RNA is filed under the name Trifolium pratense (red clover). Its description in RNAcentral is "long non-coding RNA (TPRA_LNC013351)". Lineage: Eukaryota; Viridiplantae; Streptophyta; Magnoliopsida; Fabales; Fabaceae. The record is from RNAcentral.